This is a long non-coding RNA of Oreochromis aureus, 1320 nucleotides long. RefSeq lists it as uncharacterized. NCBI's taxonomy places the organism in Eukaryota, Metazoa, Chordata, Actinopteri, Cichliformes, Cichlidae. The transcript has 2 exons. The record is from RefSeq and is a predicted model, not a curated record.
GUGAGUGAGAGACCGCAUGGGAGUAAUGUGUAGGAGCUGUCCAUACCCUAGUACUGACAACCAACCAAUAACGUUCAUCUUCUGAUGUCUGCUGACAGAGCAUUAGCCAAUCACGUUGCAGCUGAUCUGUGAUGACCUCUCUCUGCUAUUCCUGUAGUGGAAGAUGUCAGACAGGGCCAGUGCACAUGGCUAAUAGAGACAACAUCUAUGAAAAAAGGGACUGUAUAAGUUUAUGAGUUGACAUUAGGAAUGUAAUAAAGGGUGAUGUGUUUUUAUGGCUUAAGGGUGAGAUAUAAGGAGCUCUUAUGAAAGCAUGUGCCGUAGAAGAAAAAAAUGCCUCUUUUUAAUCGUUAGCUCAGUGCAAUACUUAAACCACCACACAAUAACUUUAAUCUAAUUUGCACAGUUUGCGUUUAUGUAUUUAUUUUGUGUAUUUAUCCUGCAAACCAUUAACAAGACCAAGUGCAAAUAUGAACUGAUUUCAGUUCAUAUUUGCAAAAGCAAAUGGCAAGAACUGCAUACAGAUCUCUGGCUUGGCUGUUUUUAGUCUUGUUUGAAUAGAGGAACCGGAGGAUCCCUUUUGAUGGAUGUGCCAGGAAAUAAUUCAGACUCUGAAGGGAUGAAUGGAGACUGGUGCCCUGAUCUAAUGUCUUUGUUGGAUACUGACAGGAGACAGCUCAGUAUUGUAUAAGAAAGGUCAAAGAGUUGGUUGAAGAACUAAGAAGAGGAGGAAGAACUGAAUACAACCCUAAAUACUGUGUAAUAACAUCAGCAUCUUGCCUUUUCAACAACAAAAUGCAUUCAGUACAAUAUAAACCUCAAUAUUAUAGGGGCAGGGUGUUUUCAUUUUUUCUCCACUUCAAUCUUGUGGCAAAAUAUUGUCUGAUUUGACUUUGGUGAGGAAAUUGUGGUGCGCAACCCAAAUUUAAUUGUGAUUAAGUAACACUAGGAAAUUGGAAAACCAGUUUAAAGUAAAAAAAAAAAAAAAGGAAAAACGCCAAGAUAAUGACUUCCAUUUACUUCGGAAGUCUUAGCAGCAUGUUUCUCCUGGGACCUGAGUCAGUUGAAGUCAGAUGCACUCCUCAGCUAGAUCAUAUUAAUAUAAGUGAAUUUUUUUUCUUCAUCUCAGUUCCUUGGCCCUUCACAACCCAUUUCAACACAUGAUCACUUAACACACAGUGAGCAUUAUGCAAUGCAUGACUGUAAUUGCACAUGUAGUGCUUUUAUUAAGAUAACUUUGCAAACUUGUCUUUGAUAUAAAAUUGUUUAGCAUGACAUAUGCAGCAUCAUAUUGUUUUGAAUAAAGUCUGGUUAAAAACA